CAAGGAAUUUUCCCCAAUGGGCGCAAGCCUGAGGGAGCAACGCCGCGUGCAGGACGACGGCCUUCGGGUUGUAAACUGCUUUUGCGUGGGACGAUAACGACGGUACCACGCGAAUCAGCCCCGGCUAACUCUGUGCCAGCAGCCGCGGUAAUACAGAGGGGGCAAGCGUUGUCCGGACUUACUGGGCGUAAAGCGCACGCAGGUGGCCCGUUAAGUUGGCUGUGAAAUCCCCUGGCUCAACCAGGGAAGUGCAGUCGAUACUGGCGGGCUCGAGUCCCGGAGAGGGUGGUAGAAUUCCCAGUGUAGAGGUGAAAUUCGUAGAUAUUGGGAGGAAUACCGGUGGCGAAGGCGACCGCCUGGACGGGUACUGACACUGAGGCGCGAAAGCAUGGAUAGCAAAAGGGAUUAGAUACCCCCGUAGUCC
Molecule: ribosomal RNA, 424 nt
Filed under: uncultured prokaryote
Description: bacterial SSU rRNA
Rfam family: Bacterial small subunit ribosomal RNA
Source: RNAcentral